GGCUGAUUAGCUCAGUCGGCUGAGUGUGGUGUUGGUAACACCAAGGUCCUGGGUUCGAUCCCCGUUUGGCCC
This 72-nucleotide transfer RNA is filed under the name Apaloderma vittatum (bar-tailed trogon). It matches the Rfam family "tRNA". Rfam says of the family: Transfer RNA (tRNA) molecules are approximately 80 nucleotides in length. Their secondary structure includes four short double-helical elements and three loops (D, anti-codon, and T loops). Further hydrogen bonds mediate the characteristic L-shaped molecular structure. tRNAs have two regions of fundamental functional importance: the anti-codon, which is responsible for specific mRNA codon recognition, and the 3' end, to which the tRNAs corresponding amino acid is attached (by aminoacyl-tRNA synthetases). tRNAs cope with the degeneracy of the genetic code in two manners: having more than one tRNA (with a specific anti-codon) for a particular amino acid; and 'wobble' base-pairing, i.e. permitting non-standard base-pairing at the 3rd anti-codon position. The record is from Rfam by way of RNAcentral. Lineage: Eukaryota; Metazoa; Chordata; Aves; Trogoniformes; Trogonidae.